AGAGUUUGAUCAUGGCUCAGAUUGAACGCUGGCGGCAGGCCUAACACAUGCAAGUCGAGCGGCAGCGCGGGGCAACCUGGCGGCGAGCGGCGGACGGGUGAGUAACGCGUAGGAAUCUACCCAGUAGCGGGGGAUAGCCCGGGGAAACUCGGAUUAAUACCGCAUACGCCCCAAGGGGGAAAGCAGGGGAUCGCAAGACCUUGCACUAUUGGAAGAGCCUGCGUUGGAUUAGCUAGUUGGUAGGGUAAAGGCCUACCAAGGCGACGAUCCAUAACUGGUCUGAGAGGAUGAUCAGUCACACCGGAACUGAGACACGGUCCGGACUCCUACGGGAGGCAGCAGUGGGGAAUAUUGGACAAUGGGGGCAACCCUGAUCCAGCCGUGCCGCGUGUGCGAAGAAGGCCUUCGGGUUGUAAAGCACUUUAAGUGGGGAGAAAGGUUCGCUGUUUAAUACGCAGCGGAAUUGAUGCUACCCACAGAAUAGACCGCAUUCCC
RNAcentral lists this ribosomal RNA (495 nucleotides) under uncultured Salicola sp. RNAcentral describes it as "bacterial SSU rRNA". It matches the Rfam family "Bacterial small subunit ribosomal RNA", at positions 8 to 504 of the family's 1533-position model. Lineage: Bacteria; Pseudomonadati; Pseudomonadota; Gammaproteobacteria; Oceanospirillales; Halomonadaceae. The record is from RNAcentral.